UACGUAGGUGGCAAGCGUUAUCCGGAAUUAUUGGGCGUAAAGAGCGCGCAGGUGGUUAAUUAAGUCUGAUGUGAAAGCCCACGGCUUAACCGUGGAGGGUCAUUGGAAACUGGUUGACUUGAGUGCAGAAGAGGGAAGUGGGAUUCCAUGUGUAGCGGUGAAAUGCGUAGAGAUAUGGAGGAACACCAGUGGCGAAGGCGGCUUCCUGGUCUGCAACUGACACUGAGGCGCGAAAGCGUGGGGAGCAAACAGG
RNAcentral lists this ribosomal RNA (253 nucleotides) under uncultured bacterium. RNAcentral describes it as "partial 16S ribosomal RNA". It matches the Rfam family "Bacterial small subunit ribosomal RNA", at positions 524 to 776 of the family's 1533-position model. The record is from RNAcentral.